CUCUGGUUCCUUUCUUUCUCUCUAAAUCGCGCGGUCCUCCAAGAACACUCCUCCCUCACCAUCACCGAACCACAUCUUCAUGCUCUCUACCCUUGGAGAGAAUCAGGACACCAAAACCUAAUCUCAUUCGAAGCACUCUCGAUUUCGCGUUCGCUCCUCACCGAACUACAUUUUCUUGGCUGCCUCGAGCGUCGCCUCAAACACCAAACCUCAUCUUCCGCUAGGUUUUCCUUAUCUCUCACCUUUUGACCGAUUGUUUUGUUUUUUCCUUCAUUUUUCACCGAUUGAGAUCGGUUUCUAUCUAUUUACACCGAUUAAAUCUUCGUUCCAACCUUUUCCACCGAUUAAAUCCCUUCCUACCUCGAACCCUAGAAUCUCCUUCGAACAAACCUUCGAAUCUAGGGUUCGCCUUUGAUUUCACCGUCUUUCGUUGUGUCCUUGUUCGUCGACUCGAUUUUACAUCGGAAUCAUGGAUUCAUGUCGAUUCGCCUCGACUAGGAGUCAUCACUCGUUCAUCAUUCUUUGGUGUGAUAUUUUGUGUAGUCUCGUUCAUCAUUCUCUGAUGUGGUGUGGUAAGAGAUAGUCUAUGUGUUGGCGUGCUGGUAAUAAUGACUGAAUUGGAGCUUGGUGGUUUCAGGAUUUACAUUUCCAUAACUCAGCAGAGAUCUUCAAAACAUUAUAACUACUACCGCCGUGUCACAAUCUGCUCAGCAAACUAAUUCCAAAGGAAGCCAGUGUUAUCUGGUCACAACCAGUUUAAAUUUUGAGGGUGGAGCUUCAAUGAUUUUAAAACCAGAGCAGUACCUUAUGCAUAAUGGUUAUCGUGAUGGUGCUGAAAUGUGGUGCAUCAGUUUCCAGAAUGUACAUGAGGGAGUUUCAAUUUUAGGAGGUUGAAUUUCCGAACCUGGAGACCCUGAAGCUGUAUUUAAUCAAUAUCCAGAUGAUAUGGAUUAAUCACCAUCAUUCUUACUUUGAAAACUUGACCUCUUUGACAGUAGAUGGAUGUGAACGGUUGGCAUAUAUUUUCUCAUACCCUGUGGCUGUAAAACUUGUCAAGCUUCAACAUCUUUUACUUAGUUCGUGCAAAUUCGUAGAAAAGAUAUUUGAGCCGGAUGAAAACUUGGGUCACAUUCAUCAUUUUAGAAAAUCCACUCAAACAGAACUGGUUCCAAUUUUCCCCAACCUGGAGACAUAUGUGAUUUCUCAGAUGGAUAAUUUGAAGGCAAUAUGGCCAGCCCUACUCCCUCAAAAUUCGUUUUGUAAACUGAAAAAGAUGGAAAUCGCAUCCUGCAACAAUCUCUUGAAUGUUUUCCGAUGUCAUGUGCUAGACAAAUUACAAAGCCUGUAAUCACUGAAUGUAUGGAAGUGUAUGGCAUUGGAAGUUGUA
Long non-coding RNA from Vigna angularis (adzuki bean), 1387 nucleotides. RefSeq lists it as uncharacterized. The transcript has 6 exons. Lineage: Eukaryota; Viridiplantae; Streptophyta; Magnoliopsida; Fabales; Fabaceae. The record is from RefSeq and is a predicted model, not a curated record.